This 458-nucleotide ribosomal RNA is filed under the name uncultured bacterium. RNAcentral's name for it is "bacterial SSU rRNA". It matches the Rfam family "Bacterial small subunit ribosomal RNA", at positions 29 to 533 of the family's 1533-position model. The record is from RNAcentral.
AACGAACACUGGCGGCAGGCUUAACACAUGCAAGUCGAACGCCCCGCAAGGGGAGUGGCAGACGGGUGAGUAACGCGUGGGAACGUACCUUUCAGUUCGGAAUAACUCAGGGAAACUUGUGCUAAUACCGGAUACGCCCGCAAGGGGAAAGAUUUAUCGCUGAAAGAUCGGCCCGCGUUGGAUUAGCUAGUUGGUGGGGUAAAGGCCUACCAAGGCGACGAUCCAUAGCUGGUCUGAGAGGACGAUCAGCCACACUGGGACUGAGACACGGCCCAGACUCCUACGGGAGGCAGCAGUGGGGAAUCUUGCGCAAUGGGCGAAAGCCUGACGCAGCAACGCCGCGUGGGGGAUGAAGGCUCUCGGGUUGUAAACCCCUUUCAGCAGGGACGAAAUCAGACGGUACCUGCAGAAGAAGCUCCGGCUAACUACGUGCCAGCAGCCGCGGUAAAGUACAGUGU